CCUACGGGUGGCAGCAGUGGGGGAUAUUGCACAAUGGAGGAAACUCUGAUGCAGCGACGCCGCGUGAGGGAAGACGGUCUUCGGAUUGUAAACCUCUGUCUUUGGGGAAGAAAAUGACGGUACCCAAAGAGGAAGCUCCGGCUAACUACGUGCCAGCAGCCGCGGUAAUACGUAGGGAGCGAGCGUUGUCCGGAAUUACUGGGUGAAAAGGGAGCGUAGGCGGGCGAGAAAGUUGAAUGUUAAAUCUACCGGCUUAACUGGUAGCUGCGUUCAAAACUUCUUGUCUUGAGUGAAGUAGAGGCAGGCGGAAUUCCUAGUGUAGCGGUGAAAUGCAUAGAUAUCACGCAGAACCCCGAUUGCGAAGGCAGCAUACCGGUGCACAACUGACGCUCAGGCACGAAAGCGUGGGUAUCGAACAGGAUUAGAUACCCCUGUAGUC
This 439-nucleotide ribosomal RNA is filed under the name uncultured bacterium. Its description in RNAcentral is "partial 16S ribosomal RNA". It matches the Rfam family "Bacterial small subunit ribosomal RNA", at positions 338 to 795 of the family's 1533-position model. The record is from RNAcentral.